Molecule: non-coding RNA, 144 nt
Filed under: Scrippsiella hangoei
Lineage: Eukaryota; Dinophyceae; Peridiniales; Peridiniaceae
Source: RNAcentral
AGCACGGCUUCGCAGUGCGCACACGGGGCGCUUGCUCCCAGAGUUGCUGCGAGGAAAGUCCCCGUGCCUUGGUGCAGAGAGUGUGAGUGGGAGACCGCAGGGCUCGUGCCAAACCUCCAGUGGUGAUGCUUUUCGCUGAGCCUU